This 450-nucleotide ribosomal RNA is filed under the name uncultured bacterium. RNAcentral's name for it is "bacterial SSU rRNA". It matches the Rfam family "Bacterial small subunit ribosomal RNA", at positions 354 to 796 of the family's 1533-position model. The record is from RNAcentral.
GUGGGGAAUAUUGGACAAUGGGCGCAAGCCUGAUCCAGCAAUGCCGCGUGUGUGAAGAAGGCCUGCGGGUUGUAAAGCACUUUAAGCAGGAAAGAAGGCUUCGGAGCUAAUAUCUUCGAAGAUUGACGUUACCUGCAGAAUAAGCACCGGCUAACUCCGUGCCAGCAGCCGCGGUAAUACGGAGGGUGCGAGCGUUAAUCGGAAUUACUGGGCGUAAAGCGCGCGUAGGCGGUUUGCUAAGUCCGCUGUGAAAGCCCUGGGCUUAACCUGGGAACUGCAGUGGAUACUGGCAGGCUAGAGUAUGGUAGAGGAGAGUGGAAUUUCCGGUGUAGCAGUGAAAUGCGUAGAGAUCGGAAGGAACACCAGUGGCGAAGGCGGCUCUCUGGACCAAUACUGACGCUGAGGUGCGAAAGCGUGGGGAGCAAACAGGAUUAGAAACCCCGGUAGUCC